Molecule: transfer RNA, 85 nt
Filed under: Pleurocapsa sp. PCC 7327
Lineage: Bacteria; Bacillati; Cyanobacteriota; Cyanophyceae; Pleurocapsales; Pleurocapsaceae
Also listed under: 2 other names
Description: tRNA-Leu (CAA) (tRNA-Leu-CAA-1-1)
Rfam family: tRNA
About the family: Transfer RNA (tRNA) molecules are approximately 80 nucleotides in length. Their secondary structure includes four short double-helical elements and three loops (D, anti-codon, and T loops).
Source: Rfam by way of RNAcentral
GGGCGGAUGGCGAAAUUGGUAGACGCAGCAGACUCAAAAUCUGCCGCCCUCUAAAGGCAUGAGAGUUCGAGUCUCUCUCCGCCCA